UACGUAGGGUCCGAGCGUUAAUCGGAAUUACUGGGCGUAAAGCGUGCGCAGGCGGUUUUGUAAGCCAGCUGUGAAAUCCCCGGGCUCAACCUGGGAACUGCAUUUGGGACUGCAAGGCUUGAGUACGGCAGAGGGGGGUAGAAUUCCUGGUGUAGCAGUGAAAUGCGUAGAUAUCAGGAGGAAUACCGAUGGCGAAGGCAGCCCCCUGGGUCGAUACUGACGCUCAUGCACGAAAGCGUGGGGAGCAAACAGG
RNAcentral lists this ribosomal RNA (253 nucleotides) under uncultured bacterium. RNAcentral's name for it is "partial 16S ribosomal RNA". It matches the Rfam family "Bacterial small subunit ribosomal RNA", at positions 524 to 776 of the family's 1533-position model. The record is from RNAcentral.